Molecule: long non-coding RNA, 457 nt
Organism: Malurus melanocephalus (red-backed fairy wren)
Lineage: Eukaryota; Metazoa; Chordata; Aves; Passeriformes; Maluridae
Exons: 4
Source: RefSeq, a predicted model, not a curated record
ACACGGAGCGGGAUUUAUCCACCAGAGCUGUUCCUGUGGGAAUUGAGUCCCUGUCCAUCCUAAAAAACACCAGAGAGGGAACUCCUGGAUGCAAAGGAAUUUUCACCCAAUUCCACUGACAGAGGAGAUGGAGCUGCUGCAGCCUCCAAUUGUGUGAAAACCUUGGAAAUAUCUCAGAAAGACCCGACUGAAAUUCCAAUUUCCAAAACCCCAAAGAAGAAAAAAGUGACUUUUGGGGAGGUUUUGAGCCCUGAAAUCUUCGAUCAGAGCCUUCCCCCCAACACCCCCCUGCGCAGAGGAGCCUCCCCGGGGCCUCCACGGGGGGAGAAAUCCCCUGGAAUGGGGGGAAAAAUCCCUGGAGAGGCUUUGGGAGUGCUGGAUUUGGGCUGGGAGCAGGAUUGUGUUGAACCUCCCCAGGAAUUGCUGGAAAUUUCUGUUCCUUCCCCCGUUGGAAAUU